UGGGGAAUUUUGGACAAUGGGCACAAGCCUGAUCCAGCCAUGCCGCGUGAGGGAAGAAGGCCUUCGGGUUGUAAACCUCUUUCGGGCGGGACGAAACGGGGCGCACGAAUAGUGCGUCUUACUGACGGUACCGCAAGAAGAAGCACCGGCUAACUACGUGCCAGCAGCCGCGGUAAUACGUAGGGUGCGAGCGUUAAUCGGAAUUACUGGGCGUAAAGCGUGCGCAGGUGGCUGUGCAAGCCAGGCGUGAAAUCCCCGGGCUCAACCUCGGAACUGCCUCUGAUACUGUUGGUCUUGAAUCCGGUAGAGGUGGGUGGAAUUCCUAGUGUAGAGGUGAAAUUCGCAGAUAUUAGGAAGAACACCGGUGGCGAAGGCGGCCCACUGGACCGGUAUUGACGCUGAGGUGCGAAAGCCAGGGGAGCAAACGGGAUUAGAUACCCUGGUAGUCCCUGAGCGGGCUGGCAAGGCGCAU
RNAcentral lists this ribosomal RNA (472 nucleotides) under uncultured bacterium. RNAcentral describes it as "bacterial SSU rRNA". It matches the Rfam family "Bacterial small subunit ribosomal RNA", at positions 355 to 825 of the family's 1533-position model. The record is from RNAcentral.